GAUUACGUCCCUGCCCUUUGUACACACCGCCCGUCGCUACUACCGAUUGAAUGAUUUAGUGAGGUCUUCGGACUGKUGCUCGARACGACUUCCGGGUCGGRUCGAUGCGCCGGAAAG
Molecule: ribosomal RNA, 117 nt
Filed under: Carapoia pau
Lineage: Eukaryota; Metazoa; Arthropoda; Arachnida; Araneae; Pholcidae
Description: partial 18S ribosomal RNA
Source: RNAcentral